Molecule: ribosomal RNA, 497 nt
Filed under: uncultured bacterium
Lineage: Bacteria
Description: partial 16S ribosomal RNA
Rfam family: Bacterial small subunit ribosomal RNA
Source: RNAcentral
GAUGAACGCUGGCGGCGUGCCUAAUACAUGCAAGUCGAGCGAACAGACGAGGAGCUUGCUCCUCUGACGUUAGCGGCGGACGGGUGAGUAACACGUGGAUAACCUACCUAUAAGACUGGGAUAACUUCGGGAAACCGGAGCUAAUACCGGAUAAUAUAUUGAACCGCAUGGUUCAAUAGUGAAAGACGGUUUUGCUGUCACUUAUAGAUGGAUCCGCGCCGCAUUAGCUAGUUGGUAAGGUAACGGCUUACCAAGGCGACGAUGCGUAGCCGACCUGAGAGGGUGAUCGGCCACACGGGAACUGAGACACGGUCCAGACUCCUACGGGAGGCAGCAGUAGGGAAUCUUCCGCAAUGGGCGAAAGCCUGACGGAGCAACGCCGCGUGAGUGAUGAAGGUCUUCGGAGCGUAAAACUCUGUUAUUAGGGAAGAACAAAUGUGUAAGUAACUAUGCACGUCUUGACGGUACCUAAUCAGAAAGCCACGGCUAACUACGUG